Molecule: long non-coding RNA, 2620 nt
Organism: Oncorhynchus keta (chum salmon)
Lineage: Eukaryota; Metazoa; Chordata; Actinopteri; Salmoniformes; Salmonidae
Exons: 2
Source: RefSeq, a predicted model, not a curated record
CCACCCCAGGCCCCUAGCCCCUCCACCCCAGGCCCCUAGCCCCUCCACCCCAGGCCCCUAGCCCCUCCACCCCAGGUCAUGUUUAUUUUAACCCUCUUUAUCCUUGCCUGUCUCACUGACAACUCUCCAAUCUGGAAUGGACCCUAUUCCCUAUCUAGUGCACUACUAGACCAACUAUGUCAUCUGGAACUAGUGAACUAGAAAGGGGAUAGGAGGCCAUUUUGUCAUGUGAUGCCAGAGGGGUCAUCUACAACAAGUUUUAUCUUCACACACCUGGACUGGACACACCUGGACUAAACUCACCUGUACUAGAUACACUGUAACACAGAGACACACCUGGACUAAACUCACCUGUACUAGAUACACUGUCACACAGAGACGCACCUGGACUAGACACACACCUGGACUAGACACACACCUGGACUAGACACACACCUGGACUAGACCCACCUGGACUAGAUACACUGUAACACAGACACACCUGGACUAGACCCACCUGGACUAGACACACUGUAACACAGAGACAUACCUGGACUAGACACACCUGGACUAGACACACUAACACAGAGACAUACCUGGAGUAGACACACACCUGGACUAGACCCACCUGGACUAGACCCAUCUGGACUAGACACACCUGGACUAGACACAAUUGGACUAGACACACUGUAACACAGAGACACACCUGGACUAGACACAACUGGACUAGACACACUAACACAGAGACAUACCUGGACUAGACACACCUGGACUAGACCCACCUGGACUAGACACACCUGGACUAGACACACCUGGACUAGACACACUGUAACACAGAGACACACCUGGACUAGACACACCUGGACUAGACACACUGUAACACAGACACACACCUGGACUAGACACACACCUGGACUAGACACACCUGGACUAGACACACUGUAACACAGAGACAUGUGACCGUUGAAAUGUUUUAUUUGCAUGCGUUGGUAUAGCAACACACAUUUUUAGAUGUAAAAUGUGGUUGUGAUUAUUACUGUGAAAGUCCAAUGGGCUCCACUGUCUUGCUCCUAGCAGACAUGACACUUGUUGAGUGACCCAUAUGCAUUCAUCUUGUUGUUGGGGGGGUUCAGUAACAUUCCCUCUAGAUUGAAUACUGCUGCUACAGUUUGAGUUAAAAGACGAGAGGGGAAGCAGGCUGAGGUUUUAAACGGAGAGGGGAAGAGGAGAGGGGAAGCAGGCUGAGGUUUUAAACGGAGAGGGGAAGAGGAGAGGGGAAGCAGGCUGAGGUUUUAAACGGAGAGGGGAAGAGGAGAGGGGAAGCAGGCUGAAGUUUUAAACGGUUGGCGAUACUGUGGUUCUUCUGGUUGGGGACAAGAGGAGACCUUUAAUUAAUGUGUUAGGAGACUAGUAUGACGAGGGACUGUUUUUUUCCCUACCUGCUCUCUGUCCAGCUCCCUCGGGGAUAACUUGAGGAGUUAAACCGUGUUUUCAAAGGGGGGUGUUGAUGAGGUUUAAUUUCAAAUGGCUCAAUAUUCUCUAUCUAGUGCACUAUGUAGGGAAUAGGGUUCCCCCCCAUAGGGCCCUGGUCAAAAGUAGUGCACUAUGUAGGGAAUAGGGAGCUAUUUUAGCCGCAGGCCCUUUUAUGUUAAUGCAAGACUGGGUCAGUUUUAUCAGAUAAUCUGAGAACUAGAUAAACCCUCCCCCCAACAGCAUCUAGUUAGUUCUCACCUUUCACUGCCUAAACCUAGUGUUGUCUGUCUGUGGGUUUCUACUGAAUGUUUGUUCACAUCUCUUUUCUUUUCUUUGUAAGACUGUAUUUAUUGUAAAAGAUAAAUGGAAAUAUGUUGUGCUGGAGUGAGAUUCAUUAUUUUACCUGUCUGAGUAAAAGGACUCCAACUCCCUUCUCUCCCUCGUGGAAUUACACUCACUCAAAAUGGCUGCCGGGUUCACCCACAACUGUGUACCUGUCUGAGUACAUGGACUCCAACUCCCUUCUCUCCCUCGUGGAAUUACACUCACUCAAAAUGGCUGCCGGAUUUACCCACAACUGUGUACCUGUCUGAGUACAUGGACUCCAACUCCCUUCUCUCCCUCGUGGAAUUACACUCACUCAAAAUGGCUGCCGGGUUCACCCAUAACUGUGUACCUGUCUGAGUAAAUGGACUCCAACUCCCUUCUCUCCCUCGUGGAAUUACACUCACUCAAAAUGGCUGCCGGGUUCACCCACAACUGUGUACCUGUCUGAGUAAAUGGACUCCAACUCCCUUCUCCCCCUCGUGGAAUUACACUCACUCAAAAUGGCUGCCGGGUUCACCCACAACUGUCUCGAAAGGGAAUGUCUGCUUCAGUAAUUGUCUUUCUUUGAUAAUAUAUCUCCCUUCACAGCCUCUCAGAGGCAUUAUAGAUAUAUAUAUUUCUAGAGCUGCUCAAAAGAAGCACACCAUUUUGGAUGCAGGGAGAGGGCCUGUAAGGUCACACAGUCUGUUUUCCACAAGGCGUCAUCGGUUGGUGUGAAAGGAUGCUCUUUCCUUCAUCUCUAGGUUUGGUUGUUUCCAAGUGUCCUUUUUUGUCUGUCGCCUGUCUGAAACAUUUUGUCGUCAUUGAUUUAAAAUGGGGAAUAAAUUCAUCAACAAUUCAA